AGACUAGUAGUUUAAUAAAAACAUUCAAUUUGCAUUUAAAAAAUAAAUAAUAUUUCAGUCUU
Molecule: transfer RNA, 62 nt
Filed under: Dimorphostylis asiatica
Lineage: Eukaryota; Metazoa; Arthropoda; Malacostraca; Cumacea; Diastylidae
Description: tRNA-Ala
Source: RNAcentral